Molecule: long non-coding RNA, 512 nt
Filed under: Cricetulus griseus (Chinese hamster)
Lineage: Eukaryota; Metazoa; Chordata; Mammalia; Rodentia; Cricetidae
Description: lncRNA (ENSCGRG00000025158.1)
Source: RNAcentral
GGCCUACAGCAGGAACAAUGAAGAAUGCCCUUAACAUCACCUUAUGUCACAGGAGGAUAGGAAUUGUGAAAAUGUGUGUGGGCAACCUGGCAUGGAAGAAAAACCUAAAACAGUACACAACAAGUCAACACUGCUGCAAUCCAUGAUUCCUCAGACUCUUGUGGACCAGACUGACGAUUUGAAUUCCAGCCCUUGGACCCUCAGGGUGGAUAGAGAGAACCAACUUCUCCAGGCUGUCCUGUGACUUCCACAGGACUUAUGGCACACUCCUGUGUGGCUCUCUCUGCAAUAAAUAAAUGUCAAGUGGGAGAGUCCUUGUCUUGAGUCUGCCGGCGAGGUAGUGUGAGAGGUCUGACCUCACAAGAGGUCCUUGUGAUGUCAUUGCCACCUCAAGAUGCCCUCCUCUGUGAAGGUCACAAAGGACUCAGUCUGGACCCUGCGGCUUGCAGGGGCCAGGCUGCUGGUGGCAGGUGUGUGCUUCUGGCGGCUAGAGGUCGGGAAGCAUGUGAGUC